RNAcentral lists this ribosomal RNA (1004 nucleotides) under Lacticaseibacillus paracasei. RNAcentral describes it as "bacterial SSU rRNA". It matches the Rfam family "Bacterial small subunit ribosomal RNA", at positions 64 to 1031 of the family's 1533-position model. Lineage: Bacteria; Bacillati; Bacillota; Bacilli; Lactobacillales; Lactobacillaceae. The record is from RNAcentral.
GAACGAGUUCUCGUUGAUGAUCGGUGCUUGCACCGAGAUUCAACAUGGAACGAGUGGCGGACGGGUGAGUAACACGUGGGUAACCUGCCCUUAAGUGGGGGAUAACAUUUGGAAACAGAUGCUAAUACCGCAUAGAUCCAAGAACCGCAUGGUUCUUGGCUGAAAGAUGGCGUAAGCUAUCGCUUUUGGAUGGACCCGCGGCGUAUUAGCUAGUUGGUGAGGUAAUGGCUCACCAAGGCGAUGAUACGUAGCCGAACUGAGAGGUUGAUCGGCCACAUUGGGACUGAGACACGGCCCAAACUCCUACGGGAGGCAGCAGUAGGGAAUCUUCCACAAUGGACGCAAGUCUGAUGGAGCAACGCCGCGUGAGUGAAGAAGGCUUUCGGGUCGUAAAACUCUGUUGUUGGAGAAGAAUGGUCGGCAGAGUAACUGUUGUCGGCGUGACGGUAUCCAACCAGAAAGCCACGGCUAACUACGUGCCAGCAGCCGCGGUAAUACGUAGGUGGCAAGCGUUAUCCGGAUUUAUUGGGCGUAAAGCGAGCGCAGGCGGUUUUUUAAGUCUGAUGUGAAAGCCCUCGGCUUAACCGAGGAAGCGCAUCGGAAACUGGGAAACUUGAGUGCAGAAGAGGACAGUGGAACUCCAUGUGUAGCGGUGAAAUGCGUAGAUAUAUGGAAGAACACCAGUGGCGAAGGCGGCUGUCUGGUCUGUAACUGACGCUGAGGCUCGAAAGCAUGGGUAGCGAACAGGAUUAGAUACCCUGGUAGUCCAUGCCGUAAACGAUGAAUGCUAGGUGUUGGAGGGUUUCCGCCCUUCAGUGCCGCAGCUAACGCAUUAAGCAUUCCGCCUGGGGAGUACGACCGCAAGGUUGAAACUCAAAGGAAUUGACGGGGGCCCGCACAAGCGGUGGAGCAUGUGGUUUAAUUCGAAGCAACGCGAAGAACCUUACCAGGUCUUGACAUCUUUUGAUCACCUGAGAGAUCAGGUUUCCCCUUCGGGGGCAAAA